Choloepus hoffmanni (Hoffmann's two-fingered sloth) is the source of this 106-nucleotide small nuclear RNA. Lineage: Eukaryota; Metazoa; Chordata; Mammalia; Pilosa; Megalonychidae. The record is from Ensembl.
AUGCUCCUUCAGAGGCACGUAAACUAAAAUCGGAACAACACAGAAAAGAUCAGCAUAGCACCUGUGCAAGGAUCAUAUGCAAAUACAUGAAGCGUUCCAUAUUUUU